Molecule: ribosomal RNA, 1456 nt
Filed under: marine metagenome
Description: bacterial SSU rRNA
Rfam family: Bacterial small subunit ribosomal RNA
Source: RNAcentral
AGAGUUUGAUCAUGGCUCAGUAACGUACGCUGGCGGCACGCCUAACACAUGCAAGUCGAACGAAGUAGCAAUACUUAGUGGCAGACGGGUGAGUAACAUGUAGGUAUCUACCCUUUGGCCUGGAAUAACACGAGGAAACUUGUGCUAAUACCGGAUAAGUCUUUACGGAGAAAGCUUUAUGCACCAUUGGAUGAGCCUGCACUUGAUUAGUUUGUUGGUGGGGUAAUGGCCUACCAAGACUGUGAUCAAUAGCUGAUUUGAGAGGAUGAUCAGCCACAUUGGGACUGAGACACGGCCCAAACUCCUACGGGAGGCAGCAGUGGGGAAUCUUGCACAAUGGAGGAAACUCUGAUGCAGCGAUGCCGCGUGAGUGAAGAAGGCCCUUGGGUUGUAAAGCUCUUUCGUCGGGGAAGAAAAUGACUGUACCCGAAUAAGAAGGUCCGGCUAACUUCGUGCCAGCAGCCGCGGUAAUACGAAGGGACCUAGCGUAGUUCGGAAUUACUGGGCUUAAAGAGUUCGUAGGUGGUUGAAAAAGUUAGUGGUGAAAUCCCAGAGCUUAACUCUGGAACUGCCAUUAAAACUUUUCAGCUAGAGUAUGAUAGAGGAAAGCAGAAUUUCUAGUGUAGAGGUGAAAUUCGUAGAUAUUAGAAAGAAUACCAAUUGCGAAGGCAGCUUUCUGGAUCAUUACUGACACUGAGGAACGAAAGCAUGGGUAGCGAAGAGGAUUAGAUACCCUCGUAGUCCAUGCCGUAAACGAUGUGUGUUAGACGUUGGAAAUUUAUUUUCAGUGUCGCAGCGAAAGCGAUAAACACACCGCCUGGGGAGUACGACCGCAAGGUUAAAACUCAAAUGAAUUGACGGGGACCCGCACAAGUAGUGGAGCAUGUGGUUUAAUUCGAAGAUACGCGCAGAACCUUACCAACACUUGACAUGUUCGUCGCGACUCUAAGAGAUUAGAGUUUUCGGUUCGGCCGGACGAAACACAGGUGCUGCAUGGCUGUCGUCAGCUCGUGUCGUGAGAUGUUGGGUUAAGUCCCGCAACGAGCGCAACCCUCACUUUUAGUUGCCAUCAUUUAGUUGGGCACUCUGAAAGAACUGCCAGUGAUAAGCUGGAGGAAGGUGGGGAUGACGUCAAGUCCUCAUGGCCCUUACGUGUUGGGCUACACACGUGCUACAAUGGUAUCUACAACAGGAAGCAAGACUGCGAGGUCAAGCAAAUCCUUAAAAGAUACCUCAGUUCGGAUUGCACUCUGCAACUCGAGUGCAUGAAGCUGGAAUUACUAGUAAUCGUGGAUCAGCGUGCCACGGUGAAUGCGUUCCCGGGUCUUGUACACACCGCCCGUCACACCAUGGGAGUUGGUUCUACCUUAAGGCAAGGUUUAAAACCCUUGACCACGGUAUAGUCAGCGACUGGGGUGAAGUCGUAACAAGGUAGCCGUAGGGGAACCUGCGGCUG